This is a long non-coding RNA of Oncorhynchus masou masou (cherry salmon), 1589 nucleotides long. RefSeq lists it as uncharacterized. The transcript is spliced from 4 exons. NCBI's taxonomy places the organism in Eukaryota, Metazoa, Chordata, Actinopteri, Salmoniformes, Salmonidae. The record is from RefSeq and is a predicted model, not a curated record.
UCUUCUGCACAACUUCCUGUUCAUCCUAAUUAGUUGCUCUCUUCUGAGCGCUCUUGCCACACUGUUUCUGCAAGCUGCGCUUGGCUUUUGGUAUCAACUGUUUUCUCAUCCUCCAGGGCACCUUGACAGGGGGAUCGAUUAGAAUGGUGGUCGUCCUUCGCCUUCGGAAAAGGUCGGACAGCUACAGGGCUGAAGUUAGCCUCUCCGAAUCUGAGGGUGAAAGACUCCUCUCUCGCCUCCAACAUCGACUUCUUUCAGACUGAGAUCCAAGGUGUAACCAUAGUAACAGUCUGACGUUUAGACAAGGCUGACGUCAUCUGUGGGGAUGGAUUGACUCAGUGCAGAAUCACAGAAGAGAUCUUCAGGUGUAGAUGGAUCUGAGACAGUGUGGAGGUGAUCCCCAGAGGUGGAAUAGGCUUGCACCUCCCCCUGCCCAGGAGAGACAGACUGCCCCACAGGACUUGCGUUGACCUCCACAGGCCCAGCCUAGGGUGAAGAGCCACAACAGCCCCCAGGUACUGCAGCUAUGGUGCUAGCUCCUCUGUGGUGGUGGGGGCAGGACGACCUGUUACAAUGAGCAGGGGGCCGUACACACUUCUAUCCAGGGGCUGCAGCUUGUGGGAGCAGUGAGGAGGGAAGGAGAGCAGCAUGACGCCAUUGGCUUUGCAGUAGUCCAUGCCCUGGAGUGAGAGGUGAGAGGCCUGAUUAUCUAGAAGCAGCAGCUGUGGAGACUGUGGGGACGUCCUGGUGUACUUCACAAAAUGUUGCAAGAAGGCCAGGAAGUCAUUCUCCCAUCCAGCCAGAACCACUAGCAGUGCCCAUGCAACCUGUAGGCCCAUCACGUAGGAAGUGAUCAAGAUGUUGUUGGUCCGACCUGCUUCCUCCCUCUGUUGGCAAUGAUUUUGUCCGGCACUUGGACUGUUGUGGUGCUGGUCUCAUCCAUGUUCCCCACAUCUUUGGCCUCAAAGUUGUGGCGGCCCAGAAUAGUAGAAAGGUUGUUGAAGAACUGAGAAACGUUUGUUGCAUUUAAACUUGUCGCUCUCAACAGACUGCUGGCUUGAGGCUGGCAGAUGAAGAGGCCGGGGUGCCUUUUGAGGAAGGAAGUGAACCAGUCUUUCCCUGCCAUCUCCUUGGUAACCCAGGUCUCAGGGUACUUGCAGUGGUAUUGUUGGGCAAGGUGAUAUGCAAGUCUACGUACCUGAAAAAUAAAGGCAAUAUUAAUUAUGAACUGUCAUGAACCUCUAUAUGACCUUUUAAAAUCUUAUAGUUAGUCUUUUUUUAAUGCUAAUCAACCACCGGCACUUGCAGUGGUAUUGUUGGGCAAGGUGAUAUGCAAGUCUACGUACCUGAAAAAUAAAGGCAAUAUUAAUUAUGAACUGUCAUGAACCUCUAUAUGACCUUUUAAAAUCUUAUAGUUAGUCUUUUUUUAAUGCUAAUCAACCACCGGCACUUGCAGUGGUAUUGUUGGGCAAGGUGAUAUGCAAGUCUACGUACCUGAAAAAUAAAGGCAAUAUUAAUUAUGAACUGUCAUGAACCUCUAUAUGACCUUUUAAAAUCUUAUAGUUAGUCUUUUUUUAAUGCUAAUCAAC